GAUGAACGCUGGCGGCGUGCCUAAUACAUGCAAGUCGAGCGAACGGACGAGAAGCUUGCUUCUCUGAUGUUAGCGGCGGACGGGUGAGUAACACGUGGAUAACCUACCUAUAAGACUGGGAUAACUUCGGGAACCCGGAGCUAAUACCGGAUGAUAUUUUGAACCGCAUGGUUCAAAAUGGAAAGACGGUCUUGCUGUCACUUAUAGAUGGAUCCGCGCUGCAUUAGCUAGUUGGUAAGGUAACGGCUUACCAAGGCAACGAUGCAUAGCCGACCUGAGAGGGUGAUCGGCCACACUGGAACUGAGACACGGUCCAGACUCCUACGGGAGGCAGCAGUAGGGAAUCUUCCGCAAUGGGCGAAAGCCUGACGGAGCAACGCCGCGUGAGUGAUGAAGGUCUUCGGAUCGUAAAACUCUGUUAUUAGGGAAGAACAUAUGUGUAAGUAACUGUGCACAUCUUGACGGUACCUAAUCAGAAAGCCACGGCUAACUACGUG
This 497-nucleotide ribosomal RNA is filed under the name uncultured bacterium. RNAcentral describes it as "partial 16S ribosomal RNA". It matches the Rfam family "Bacterial small subunit ribosomal RNA", at positions 28 to 507 of the family's 1533-position model. The record is from RNAcentral.